RNAcentral lists this ribosomal RNA (123 nucleotides) under Periophthalmus magnuspinnatus. The record is from RNAcentral. Lineage: Eukaryota; Metazoa; Chordata; Actinopteri; Gobiiformes; Gobiidae.
UCUUGUGGCCAAACCUCCAUGCCAAAGCCGGAUCUCAGAAGUUAAGCAGGGCUGGGCCUGGUUAGUAUCUGGAUGGGUAUAUCAAAAACUGUCCUUGUAUUCUUAAGUAAGGCGCUUCAACCA